GACGAACGCUGGCGGCGUGCUUAACACAUGCAAGUCGAACGGAAAGGCCUCUUUCGGGGGGUACUCGAGUGGCGAACGGGUGAGUAACACGUGAGUAACCUGCCCUUGACUUUGGGAUAACUUCAGGAAACUGGGGCUAAUACCGGAUAGGAGCUCCUGCUGCAGGGUGGGGGUUGGAAAGUUUCGGCGGUUGGGGAUGGACUCGCGGCUUAUCAGCUUGUUGGUGGGGUAGUGGCUUACCAAGGCUUUGACGGGUAGCCGGCCUGAGAGGGUGACCGGCCACAUUGGGACUGAGAUACGGCCCAGACUCCUACUGGAGGCAGCAGUGGGGAAUAUUGCACAAUGGGUGGAAGCCUGAUGCAGCAACGCCGUGUGCGGGAUGACGGCCUUCGGGUUGUAAACCGCUUUCGCUCAUGACGAAGCUUUGUGUGACGGUAGUGGGUAAAGAAGCACCGGCUAACUACGUG
RNAcentral lists this ribosomal RNA (467 nucleotides) under uncultured bacterium. RNAcentral's name for it is "partial 16S ribosomal RNA". It matches the Rfam family "Bacterial small subunit ribosomal RNA", at positions 28 to 507 of the family's 1533-position model. The record is from RNAcentral.